RNAcentral lists this long non-coding RNA (6630 nucleotides) under Sus scrofa (pig). RNAcentral's name for it is "lncRNA (ENSSSCG00040048172.1)". Lineage: Eukaryota; Metazoa; Chordata; Mammalia; Artiodactyla; Suidae. The record is from RNAcentral.
UUUUUUUUUUUUGUCUUUUUGCUAUUUCUUGGGCCGCUCCUGCGGCAUAUGGAGGUUCCCAGGCUAGGGGUCGAAUCGGAGCUGUAGCCACUGGUCUACACCAGAGCCACAGCAACGCGGGAUCCGAGCCUCAUCUGCAACCUACGCCACAACUCAUGGCAACGCUGGAUCCUUAACCCACUGAGCAAGGCCAGGGAUCGAACCCGCAACCUCAUGGUUCCUAGUCAGAUUCGCUAACCACUGAGCCACACAGGAACUCCUGACUCUUGUUUUUACCUCCUCUUUGCAAAUGAGGAAACAGAGAAAUGACCUAAGUUGCUCAACAGUAGCUAGUGAGUGGUGAAACUGAUUUAAAUGCUUGUCCAUCUGAUUCCAGGUCCUCUCCUCUUACCCUCGUCUUGCCAGUCCCUCUGAUCCUUGGGUGCUGCUCUCUGAAAACUGUCCCAUCCCUGCAGCCCUCCUUGAUCCAAUUACUACCCAGUUAGAUAUGCUUCUUGAGGUGUAGCUCUGAGCCCCUCUCUUGGACAUUAUUUCAGGCCUGCUUUCUGGUACCAAGUCCCCACAGCUAUGGAUAAAAGAUGUUCCUCAGACCCUUCUCCAGCCCUGUGCACCCUGACCUUUUAGCCUAAAUGUAUCUACAGUGAACCAGGAGUGUUUACUGCCCUGCUUUUUAUCACCAACAGCCCUAGCAUUAGGAAAAUCACCAGGUGCCUACAUUUUUCAUCUGUAAAAUAAAAAUCCUCAGUAUGCUUACAAGUUAGAUAGCUCUUCUAGAAAUGAGAAAAUUGAACUUUUCAAAUUUCUGGCUACAAGCUGUGCUGUAAAACAUCAUUACUGAUUUUUUUGAUAUGCACUUUCUGGUCUUUGCAAUUCAAAGAUGAUGGUUUUGGGUAUCACUGCAAUUGGUGUGAGCAGCGGGAACACAAAGAGACCAAAGCUUGAGGUAGCUGCAUCCCUCACCUGAGGGUUGAGGUGAUAUGUUUUCUUUGGGAUUUGAAGUGCAUAAUUAGGAAUUCUCUCCCUUCCUUUUCUAUAGCUUUUAGGGUACCCUUAAAGCUAUAGACAGAAGCCCUCAAUACUAACUAGGGUAUAUUAAUGUUAAUUUGGGUAUACUAAUUUCCCAAAUCAGAAAGUAAAAACUCAGGGCUCAGAAAGCAUUCUCUUGGAGUUCUUGCUAUGGCACAGUGGAUUAAGAAUCCCUUUGUAGUGGCUUGGGUUUGGUCCCUGGUGUGGUGCAGUGGGUUAAAGGAUCUGGUGUUGCCACAACUAUGGUGUAAGUUGCAGCUACAGCUCAGAUUCAAUCCGUAGCCCUGGAACUUCCAUAUGCCAUGGGUGUGGAAUUAAAAGAAAGGCACUCUCUUGUUGGCUACCAUUUUGAGUCCAGAGACCAGAUUCCUGAUAAAAUGGGAGUGGCUUCGGUUGUGGUGGCUGGGAGGAUGAAGUGGGGCUAAGCUUGUAUGGCAAGAGUUAGUCAUCUUUAGACCAAGAAAAUGUGAGCCCCAUUAGACUUAUUUUUUAAAUUUUAUUAUUAAAGUAAAAAUUAUACUUGAUACAAUGUUGUGCCAAUUUCUGCUGUAAAGCAAAGUGACCCAGUUGUACACAUAUAUUCUUUUCCUCACAUUAUCUUCCAUCAUGUUCUAUCACAAGAGUCUGGAUAUAGUUCCAGUGUUGUACAGAAGGAUCUCAUUGCUCAUCCAUUUUAAAUGUAAUAGUUUGCAUCCACUAACCCCAAAUUCCAAGUCCACCCCCCCUCCUCAAUAACCACAAGUCUGUGCUUUAUGUCUGUGAGUCUGUUUCUGUUGUGUAUAUAGGUUCAUUUGUGCCACAUUUUAGAUUCCAUACAUAAGUAAUAUGAUAUGGCAUCUGUCUUUCUCUUUCUGACUUCAUUUAGUAACUUACUUUAUUAAACAGACAUUUAUCGGGAGCCUUUUAAGUACUAGGUCCUGGGAGUUUAAAAGCACACAGCAUGGUUUCUAUCAAGAGGGAUAUAUUGGGAAUUUAUGAAAGGCAGAAUACUAUUAUAAAAUUUGAUAGCUAUAACAGUGGUAUGUAGAAAUUUUUCUGAGGCAGAAAAAACCUUUGGAAAGGGUAUACACACAUUGGAGAUAUCAGUAAAAUGUGUUGGAUACAAAAACAUAUAAUCCACAAGUCAUAGAUGGAAGGAUGUGAAUUAAGAUAAUACCUCAUCAUAAACUAAAUUUUUACUGUGUAAUGCAUGCCUUUUAUAUGAUAGGAAUGAAUUAACAGAUGAAUUUGCUUAUUAUUCAUAUAUUAUGAGAAGGGGAGAUAUCAGAGAAAGCUAAAGAGAAUCUCAAUAACCAAUCAUCAGGAGACACAAACCAAAUUAACUUUGAUAAAAGAUAACACAAGAUCGGAGUUCCUGUCAUGGCUCAGUGGUUAACGAAUCUGACUAGGAACCAUGAGGUUGCAGGUACGAUCCCUGGCCUUGCUCAGCGGAUUAAGGAUCUGGCGUUGCCUGCUGUGAGCUGUGGUGUAGGUUGCAGACGUGGCUUGGAUCCCGCGUUGUUGUGGCCCUGGUGUAGGCUGGCAACUACAACUCCGAUUCGACCCCUAGCCUGGGAACCUCCAUAUGCUGUGGGAGCAGGCCAAUAAAUGGCAAAAAGACAAAAAAACAAACAAAAACCAAAAGAUAACACAAGAUAAGAUUACUGAGAACCACAUAAAUAAAAGGUGAGUGAUUUGACAGUAUGAAGAGUACUACUGGUUGGGACAUUCAUCUUGGGAAAAAUACAUGCACAUGUUGGACUCUGAUGGCGGGGGCUUUUGCAAAGGACGAAGUCAGGAAAGGACAUGGGAAGUGGGUGUAAAGAGCACAGCGAAGUUAAGAAGGUGGGUAAUUAUGGUAUCUGAUAGAUUUGGCAGGAGUGACAGGACUGAAGGGAAAGCUGGAAAGUUAGGUUUGUACUGGAGAGAGGGGUUUUCUCCUAAGGAUUUGGACUUGAUGGUGAGCAGAAGGAGAUGUCAAAGAGUUUCCUGGUGGUUUAUCAGGUUAAGGAUUCGGCAUCAUCACUACUGUGACAUGGGUUCUGUCCCCAGUCCAGGAACUUCCUUCCACGUGCUACAAACAAAGCCAAAAAAAUAGUGUUUGGGGCCAAGGACUACCAUGAUUAUCUCUGAAGUUCAAAUAUGUCAACAAACACUAUUUUACUUUUCAGAUUUUAUUGAGAAAAAUUCAAUCUUUUCCAUUCCUGAAACAGCUGUAUUUUCUCUAUCACAUUUAGACCUUACUGAUUUGAAACGAUCUGCAAUGUGUUCUUUAUUCUAUUUUAUUCUCUCACCGAAUAGCUAUUUAUUAUGUUUCUGUUGUUGUUAUUAACCUUGGCAGGGAGCAUUUAUCUAAAACACCUUCAGAAUAGAAAUUAUUCAGAUUAGCAAUAAUUUGAAUCCUGGAAUCUGGGUAAUGUAUUUGUGUUCAUUAAAAAAACAUUUCAUACCUUCAUUUUAACCAGCUCAUAUCCAUCAAUCAAACUCAAGAAUACUCACAUUCUGAAAUAUCUGAAAUUACAAAUGUUAAUAUUUAUGUAGAUUAUUCUGCUGUUAUUUUUCUCACGGUGAUCAUUCUGGCUGAGCCUACCCUAUAAAUAGGUGAUUGUCUUGUGUAAAAAUACCUAACCACAUUUAUGUUCUUUAAAGAUUGCUUGACCACUGUCUCAUGAAUAACAGUCCUUGAUAUAGAUACAAGCAAUAGAUUGGAGGCUUAGGGAAUUGAAUUUUCCUCAUAUAUCUAUUAGGAGAAAUAUAGUCACAGAUUCUCUUCAUGAUUAAAAUGUACCCUCAAGUAUACAAGGCUUGAAUGCUGUUUGGUGAAUAGGUUACUCUCAGCCAGCUACCCAGGGGUGACAAAGAAGGAACUACUAUUACAUAGUUGGUUUGGCAGACAAAGAGCCACCCUCUUUUAAAACUCUUUAAAGCCCUCUAGCCCAUAACCUGCAAGGGAUGCUGCAUUGCAACACAAUUUUCAGGAAUCCUUCCAAACUUCAGCCAUUCUAGCAAUGUGUCUAUCUCAUAGGAACAUCUUCCUUCUAGCCUUGUCUUCAGAAGGAAGAGCAAAGCCAGAGGGAUUUGGUGCUUGUUUGGCCAUGGCCAGCGUAGAAUGGGAAGGGGAUGGGAAUGCAACAAGUACAUGGGCUAAGUAGCUCAAGGAAGUUCUGAAAGGCAUGUUGUACAACUAGUCCUUGAACUACAAAGGCAGCGUUUUUCCUAAGGUUAAGGAAAACCCCACUUUGGCCCUUCCAUACCUCUAAGCCUUAAGGUUAGGGAUUGAGAGGGGGAUCAAUCACAGCACCAUGGUCCCUGUUCUUUAUGGGAAAAGAGUAAAAAAAGGAGGGGAAGGGGUAGGGAGGGGGAGGGAGAGGGGUGGGGACGGGGCAGGGAGAGGAACAGAGGGAGUCAGGUAGAGAAAAGACAGAGGCAGAAAACUAAAAAGUUUUGAUAAGAAUAUCUCACAACCAGUGCAGUGAUGUGAAAAGCCAGACACCUGAUGGAAAUCCAUGGCUCCACAGGGACCUUGCAGCAGUGGAAAUGCAUCUGUGUAGGAAUUCCUAUUAAAAGAAGACCCAGAGCUACAUUUUACCUGUCAGGAGGUUUUUAAGUCUACAUAUGCAAAGUCAAGGCUUUUGCCAACUUGUAAACACAGAGUCUACUGGGAACAUUCACAGUCUGACAUCUUUCCAUGUCUGCUGCAUUUGAUCCCAGAUAGCAAAAAUGUUAAGUAAUUCCCCAAAGACUGCCUAUAUAAGCAGGCGUGUAGCUCUUGUUUGUAACUAGCAGAGAUUCUGAAACAAAAAUAUUUUUUAACUCUCAACACACCCUGCGAGGCCAAGAUAAAAUGCCAUUUCAAACUGGUCAGCCUGGGUGUUGGGAGGAAAUUUGAAUUCAGAAAGAUGUGAAACUAAAUCCAGGCUCCUUUACUGUCAGUAUGAGGCUCUGUAAGAUACACUUUGGAGUAGCAAUAGCUGCUCUGGCUAGUGUGAUGAAUGGGAACAAAGUAUAAGAAAGUACUAUCAGAGUAUCUAAAAUUAAAUUUUCACUAAAGUUAUUGGUAAGUUUCAAUGACAGUAGAACUGACUGAACAAUAUGUAAGAAUAAAGCUCCUAUUUGUGGUUAAAGCUUAUUCUCCUAGUGACAUCUGAAACUAUUUGUAAUCCAGUAAAGCAUGUCUAAUAUGUAUAUCUUAUGUGUGUAUAUAUACACACACACAUAUACAUAAGCUAGUAAGAGGAAAAAUAGCUAAAAUAUGACACAUCGGAGUUCCCGUCGUGGCGCAGUGGUUAACGAAUCUGACUAGGAACCAUGAGGUUGCAGGUUCGGUCCCUGCCCUUGCUCAAUGGGUUAACGAUUCGGCGUUGCUGUGAGCUGUGGUGUAGGUUGCAGACGCGGCUUGGAUCCCAUGUUGCUGUGGCUCUGGUGUAGGCCGGUGGCUACAGCUCCUAUUAGACCCCUAGCCUGGGAACCUCCAUAUGCCGAGGGAGCGGCCCAAGAAAUAGCAAAAAGACAAAAAAAAAUAAAAUAAAAUACGACACAUAUUAUAAGCCAGGACCUGUUCUAAAUAAUUUACAUGUGUUAACCAUUUUUCCUAAGUCUGAUUAUUAUUUAAACAUUGUCUUCACUUUGCAGUUGUGAUAACUAAGACCCAAUGAGGUUAAGUACUUAGAUCAACAUUACACAGGUAGUCAGUGUUAUGGUUAGGUAGACUCAGACUGUCUGGUACUAGAGCCUAUGCAUUUACUUAUGGUACUAUGCUUCCUAUACCAUCUCUAAAUAGUCAACAAUUUUUGAUAGAGAAGAAAGGAGGCCCAUAUAGUGUCAAUUUAACUAAGAGGCUUGCCCUAGAGUUUUAGGAUGAAAAUAAAAAAGGAAAACAGAUAACAAUACUUGUAGUGUCUGUGUGGUUAAUUGGUAAAACACUGUAGUAUAGUCUACAUGUGUUCCAGUUAGGUAGGUGAGAUGAUAAGAAGUUGUUACAUUUGGAAAGGACGGGAACAGUCUUCAUUCAUCCAUCCUUUCUGGUUGCAGGAAAGUGAUGCAGAGCAAACUUUUAGAGUUAGGCAGACCUCAAUUCUAAUUUCACUAAUGGUGUGAUCUUGAGAAAGCAAGAUUACCUUAUCAAAUCUCCUAAAGUACACUUUUUUUUCUAAGGGAUUUUUCAAUGGAAUAUUUUUAGAAAUAAAUGAUAUGGUUUUAUAGACAGCUAAGCACAGUAUCUGUUACAAAAGCAUGGUAUUUGUUACAAAAUGAAACUCAAUAAGUGCCGAGUUAUGUUCUGAAGAUACAAAGAUGAAUAAAACACCUUUCUUGCUCUCUAUGAGAUCUAGUGGUCUAGUAAGGACAUGGCAUAAGUAUGAUAAAUGUGAAAAUGGUUAAUUCCACUAGGGUUUAGGUAUCAAGGAAUUAGGAAUGGAAUAAUAACAGUAAUUUGAGAUUUUCUCAUAUCGAGCAUUGAGAAAAGUGCUUAGGCCUUUCACUCGCUAUCUCAUUUAAUCUCAAGAUGACCCUAAGAAGUAAGAACUAAUAUUAGCCCUAUUCUACAAAUGAAUAAACUAAAGCUUAGGGAAAUGAAGUUAUCUUUCCAGUCAUAAUACUCAGGGAGAAAAGAGUGGAGACCUUAAC